CCUACGGGUGGCAGCAGUGGGGAAUAUUGGACAAUGGGCGCAAGCCUGAUCCAGCAAUGCCGCGUGAAUGAUGAAGGCCUUAGGGUUGUAAAGUUCUUUUAGUAGGGAAGAUAAUGACGGUACCUACAGAAAAAGCCCCGGCUAACUCCGUGCCAGCAGCCGCGGUAAGACGGAGGGGGCUAGCGUUGUUCGGAAUUACUGGGCGUAAAGAGCGCGUAGGCGGUUUAAUAAGUUGGGAGUGAAAGCCCAAAGCUUAACUUUGGAAUAGCUUUCAAAACUGUUAGGCUAGAGUGUGGUAGGGGGUGAUGGAAUUCCUAGUGUAGAGGUGAAAUUCUUAGAUAUUAGGAGGAACACCGGUGGCGAAGGCGGUCACCUGGGCCAUAACUGACGCUAAUGCGCGAAAGCGUGGGGAGCAAACAGGAUUAGAUACCCCGGUAGUC
This 440-nucleotide ribosomal RNA is filed under the name uncultured bacterium. RNAcentral describes it as "partial 16S ribosomal RNA". It matches the Rfam family "Bacterial small subunit ribosomal RNA", at positions 338 to 795 of the family's 1533-position model. The record is from RNAcentral.